This 440-nucleotide ribosomal RNA is filed under the name uncultured bacterium. Its description in RNAcentral is "partial 16S ribosomal RNA". It matches the Rfam family "Bacterial small subunit ribosomal RNA", at positions 338 to 795 of the family's 1533-position model. The record is from RNAcentral.
CCUACGGGAGGCAGCAGUGGGGGAUAUUGCACAAUGGGGGAAACCCUGAUGCAGCGACGCCGCGUGUGGGAAGACGGUCUUCUGGAUUGUAAACCACUGUCCCCAGGGACGAAAAUGACGGUACCUGGGGAGGAAGCUCCGGCUAACUACGUGCCAGCAGCCGCGGUAAUACGUAGGGAGCAAGCGUUGUCCGGAAUUACUGGGGGAAAAGGGAGCGUAGGCGGGGAUGCAAGUUGGGUGUCAAAACUACCGGCUCAACCGAUAGUCGCACUCAAAACUGCAGCUCUUGAGUGAAGUAGAGGCAGGCGGAAUUCCUAGUGUAGCGGUGAAAUGCGUAGAUAUUAGGAGGAACACCAGUGGCGAAGGCGGCCUGCUGGGCUUUUACUGACGCUGAGGCUCGAAAGUGUGGGGAGCAAACAGGAUUAGAUACCCGUGUAGUC